GCGGCGGACGGGUGAGUAAUGCCUAGGAAUCUGCCUGGUAGUGGGGGACAACGUUUCGAAAGGAACGCUAAUACCGCAUACGUCCUACGGGAGAAAGCAGGGGACCUUCGGGCCUUGCGCUAUCAGAUGAGCCUAGGUCGGAUUAGCUAGUAGGUGAGGUAAUGGCUCACCUAGGCGACGAUCCGUAACUGGUCUGAGAGGAUGAUCAGUCACACUGGAACUGAGACACGGUCCAGACUCCUACGGGAGGCAGCAGUGGGGAAUAUUGGACAAUG
RNAcentral lists this ribosomal RNA (275 nucleotides) under uncultured bacterium. Its description in RNAcentral is "partial 16S ribosomal RNA". It matches the Rfam family "Bacterial small subunit ribosomal RNA", at positions 95 to 373 of the family's 1533-position model. The record is from RNAcentral.